Molecule: ribosomal RNA, 207 nt
Filed under: uncultured Hyphomicrobiales bacterium
Lineage: Bacteria; Pseudomonadati; Pseudomonadota; Alphaproteobacteria; Hyphomicrobiales
Description: uncultured Rhizobiales bacterium partial 16S ribosomal RNA
Rfam family: Bacterial small subunit ribosomal RNA
Source: RNAcentral
CACGUAGGCGGACUUGCCAGUCAGGGGUGAAAUCCCGGGGCUCAACCUCGGAACUGCCCUUGAUACAGCAAGUCUCGAGUCCGGAAGAGGUGAGUGGAAUUCCUAGUGUAGAGGUGAAAUUCGUAGAUAUUAGGAAGAACACCAGUGGCGAAGGCGGCUCACUGGUCCGGCACUGACGCUGAGGUGCGAAAGCGUGGGGAGCAAACA